This 775-nucleotide ribosomal RNA is filed under the name uncultured Neocallimastigales. Its description in RNAcentral is "partial large subunit ribosomal RNA". It matches the Rfam family "Eukaryotic large subunit ribosomal RNA", at positions 22 to 635 of the family's 3401-position model. Lineage: Eukaryota; Fungi; Neocallimastigomycota; Neocallimastigomycetes; Neocallimastigales. The record is from RNAcentral.
UGUACACGCUGUGACUAGCAUAUCAAUAAGCGGAGGAAAAGAAACUAACAAGGAUUCCCCUAGUAACGGCGAGUGAAGCGGGAAGAGCUCAAAUUUGAAAUCUUAAAGGGUUUCCCUUUACGAAUUGUAGUUUAAAGAAGUGUUUUCUGUUGAGGUUUUGGUAAAAGUUCUUUGGAAUAGGACAUCAUAGAGGGUGAGAAUCCCGUAUUUGACCUUUACUUUCAACUUUGUGAUACACUUUCAAAGAGUCGGAUUGUUUGGGAAUGCAGUCCAAAAUGGGUGGUAAAUUUCAUCUAAAGCUAAAUAUUGGCGAGAGACCGAUAGCGAACAAGUACCGUGAGGGAAAGAUGAAAAGAACUUUGAAAAGAGAGUUAAACAGUACGUGAAAUUGUCAAAAGGGAAGCGUUUGACAUCAGUGUUGUUUUUCUGAAAAUCAAUUAAAGAACUGUUUAUGCUAAGUUGUUUAGACUUUAUCAGCUAUCUGUUUAGUUUUGAGCUUUUCUUUAAUGCACUUUUCAGUCAACAAGUCAACAUCAAUUUCUUUUGCUGUAAAAAAGCUUGAGGAAGGUGGCUUGAGAUUCGUCUUAAGUGUUUAUAGCCUCUUGCCUAUGCAGUCGGAGAGAUUGAGGUCUGCAGCGUAGAUCCUUCGGGGCUAAAUGCAUUUGUGCUAAGUUAUAGCAUUUUAUAGACAACUUGUUGACUAUGAUUUGUCUUGUAGCUUACUCGCUUAUGUUAUUUUACCUACGCUUAGGAUGUUGAAGAUGUAGCACAUCAU